RNAcentral lists this unclassified non-coding RNA (409 nucleotides) under uncultured fungus. RNAcentral's name for it is "partial contains small subunit ribosomal RNA, internal transcribed spacer 1, and 5.8S ribosomal RNA". The stretch from base 1 to 73 matches the Rfam family "Eukaryotic small subunit ribosomal RNA", at positions 1759 to 1831 of the family's 1831-position model. Lineage: Eukaryota; Fungi. The record is from RNAcentral.
UCAAACUUGGUCAUUUAGAGGAAGUAAAAGUCGUAACAAGGUAACCGUAGGUGAACCUGCGGUUGGAUCAUUAUUGAAAUCCAAAACAAUCUUGAGGCGUAUUGGCGAGCAAUCGUCUUACACUCAACACCCCAAAACCUUUGACUGCAGGACUUGUCCUGUGUGAACCUAAUCUGAUCUUCUCAAAGUCUUGGACUUUUGACUUGGUCAUUUUCUCGCAAGAGAGAUGGCCUGUCACUUGUCCCAAGAUGGCGGGUUGGUCAUUACUUUAACCUAGAAACAAACAUCUGUUUAACAUUUUGUUUUCUUUUACCAAAGCAUCGAGAUACAUUGUACCGAGAUGUGAAACUAAAGAAUAACAACUUUUGACAAUGGAUCUCUAGGCUCUCGCAUCGAUGAAGAACGCAGC